RNAcentral lists this ribosomal RNA (253 nucleotides) under uncultured bacterium. Its description in RNAcentral is "partial 16S ribosomal RNA". It matches the Rfam family "Bacterial small subunit ribosomal RNA", at positions 524 to 776 of the family's 1533-position model. The record is from RNAcentral.
GACGAAGGGAGCAAGCGUUGUUCGGAUUUACUGGGCGUAAAGCGCGUGCAGGCGGUUUGUUAAGUUAGAUGUGAAAGCCCAAGGCUCAACCUUGGAAUUGCAUUUAAGACUGGCAGACUUGAGUAUUGGAGAGGUAAGCGGAAUUCCCAGUGUAGCGGUGAAAUGCGUAGAUAUUGGGAGGAACACCGAUGGCGUAGGCAGCUUACUGGCCAAUUACUGACGCUGAGGCGCGAAAGCGUGGGGAGCAAACAGG